AUUGAACGCUGGCGGCAGGCCUAACACAUGCAAGUCGAGCGGAUGACGGGAGCUUGCUCCUUGAUUCAGCGGCGGACGGGUGAGUAAUGCCUAGGAAUCUGCCUGGUAGUGGGGGACAACGUUUCGAAAGGAACGCUAAUACCGCAUACGUCCUACGGGAGAAAGCAGGGGACCUUCGGGCCUUGCGCUAUCAGAUGAGCCUAGGUCGGAUUAGCUAGUUGGUGGGGUAAUGGCUCACCAAGGCGACGAUCCGUAACUGGUCUGAGAGGACGAUCAGUCACACUGGAAUUGAGACACGGUCCAGACUCCUACGGGAGGCAGCAGUGGGGAAUAUUGGACAAUGGGCGAAAGCCUGAUCCAGCCAUGCCGCGUGUGUGAAGAAGGUCUUCGGAUUGUAAAGCACUUUAAGUUGGGAGGAAGGGCAGUAAGUUAAUACCUUGCUGUUUUGACGUUACCGACAGAAUAAGCACCGGCUAACUCUGUGCCAGCCGCCGCCGUAA
Molecule: ribosomal RNA, 500 nt
Filed under: uncultured bacterium
Lineage: Bacteria
Description: partial 16S ribosomal RNA
Rfam family: Bacterial small subunit ribosomal RNA
Source: RNAcentral